UACGGAGGGUGCAAGCAUUGAUCGGAAUUACUGGGCGUAAAGGGCGCGCAGGCGGUCGGGAAAGUCAGAUGUGAAAUUCCGGGGCUCAACCCCGGAGCUGCAUUUGAAACUUCCUGGCUAGAGUUCAGUUAGGGAAAACGGAAUUCCACGUGUAGCGGUGAAAUGCGUAGAUAUGUGGAAGAACACCGGUGGUGAAGACGGUUUUCUGGGCUGAUACUGACGCUGAGGCGCGAAAGCAAGGGGAGCAAACAGG
Molecule: ribosomal RNA, 253 nt
Filed under: uncultured bacterium
Lineage: Bacteria
Description: partial 16S ribosomal RNA
Rfam family: Bacterial small subunit ribosomal RNA
Source: RNAcentral